AUAGACUUUGAAUUCUUGGGAAAUUUAAGUGGUGACCCUUACACUCUUCAUACCAAUGUCUUUACAAAUGGCAAAGGUGACAGAGAGCAACAAUUUCACCUCUGGUUUGACCCCGCUGCUGACUUUCACACCUAUUCUAUCCUCUGGAAUCCUCAGCGCAUUGUGUAAGUAAUAUUUUCCUUCAAUCUCCAUCAUUAGUUUUUUUUCCUUGUCAUUCAAUCUGCUUAGACUUAUCAAUGUUUACUUAAUUUUCAGCUUCUCUGUUGAUGGCACGCCCAUAAGAGAAUUUAAGAACUCAGAGUCAAUUGGCGUUCCGUUCCCAAAGAAUCAGCCAAUGAGAAUAUACUCUUCUCUCUGGAAUGCUGAUGACUGGGCCACAAGAGGUGGCCUCGUGAAGACAGAUUGGACGCAUGCUCCUUUCACUGCUUCCUACAGAAACUUUAAUGCUGAAGCUUGUGUUUGGUCUAAUGGAAAAUCUUCUUGCGCUUCAAAUUCUGCUUCCUCUACAUCCAGCAACGGUGCUUGGUUCUCACAAGAGCUAGAUUCAACAAAUCAAAAUAGGCUGAAAUGGGUGCAGAAGAAUUACAUGAUUUACAAUUACUGCACUGAUACAAAGAGAUUUCCUCAGGGCCUUCCUGCAGAAUGCAGAAUCUCCUAGAGAAAAUAAUCAACAAGACACUUAAAAAUUAUUUUAUUCUUUCGUGUAAUCAUUCAAUGGUUAUUCAAUUCAUGUAGAUUCUGGAGUCAGAUUCUUUGUUUCUCUGUAAUCAAUAAAAUGGCAUGUUAGUCCAAUUUUUACCAUAUGUAACACUGGUUAAUGAAUUUAAAAAAGGAUAAUGUUAUGCGUACUUGCGUGGUAUACAAAUUAAGUAUGCUAACUAAGUAAACAUAAUAUUACUAUUUCAAAAGAUUUUGUUCUUCUUUGUUGUUAUUCUUCGUAAGCUUUAGCAUAUAGUUAUAAGCCUAAUUAAAGGUAUUGACAUGAUGACUCAUUAAUAAAGCUUUUAGACCCUAGAUUGGAAUAUGAAGAAUUAUCGAGGAAGCAUGAAGAUAAGAGCAAAUGAGUCUCCACCAGAAUGAGAAGAAAAUAUACUGCGUGUGAGCGUUACCGUAUUUGUGUCAAUCGAGGAGAAAUUUUGGCCAUUGAUUAGUAUUUAGAUAAGGCAGUAAAAGGGUAAAAUGGCAGAAAUAAACUAAAAAAAUAACUGAGUGAACUUGCACAAGUCGAUGAGGAAGAGUGAUGCAUACUGUUAUUGUUGUACGUGUUAAUUAAUAAUGAGAGGGGGACAAGCUGCGAGCCAGCUCUCAAGUGUUGAUUUUUCAAGGCGAGUCAACCCCGCCAGGACACCACCGCCUUUCCAGAUAAACAAAUUAAACAUUCUCUAGUAUAAGUGGUAAUAUACAAAACAGGAAACAGGGCUUUUGUACACAGCAAAAUCUUCAGUCCGUUCGAUUUAAAUACCAAUAUCUAUAAAUUCCUUAAUAAUAAUAAUAAUAAUAAGCAUAUCUUCAAGUUCUAUAUGUGUUUUAUUACACACGAACCCACCAGGAAGCAUGUGUUAUCAAUUAACCUAAAAUUUGGAAACAAAUUCACAGUUUCAUGUUACUAGGAAGCAUGUGUAUCGGUAUCUUGGGAUACAUAUUUCUUAGAUGUUAGAUCCAUGAUUAGUGUUAGGGACUCCAGUAAAGACUUGUCUUUAAUUUUCUUGGGUCAAGCCAAUUUCGUUUUUACAUAGCAAAGGUUUCUUGUUCAAAUCUCAGCGUGCUCAAUUUUUUGCGAAUAACACACGUAUAUGUUUCAAUUCUUGUAUGUUCAAGAACCUCUAAUUUAAUCUCCUAUCUCCGCUUUUGGAACGACAUGACCUUCAAACUGGAUCCAUGUUUCACAUGGGCAGGUCUUUUAACACUUUAAUGCUAUUUUCUGGACUCCUGUUUAACGUCUUAAGCUUUUGAAUUAAAUGAUUUCCUGAUAAUAAAUAUAGUUAUCGAAAAAAUCUGUUAAUUAAGUAGGUCAUUGAGCAAUUUUUUCUUUUUCUUUUUCUUUUGAGCAUAAAAUGCAAAAAAAAAAAAAAUGAAAAUCUCGAGAGAGAAGAGUACCCAGUGAAUUCUACAUUUUCUUUUUUGUGUUUUGACUGGUGGUGGCUGGAAAAAAAAAAAGCUAAUAAGAGUCAGCCGGUGAUGGGAACAUAACAGCAGUACAGAAUAAGUACUUGAGUCUCAAAAAUAUGCAAAGCCGCGUAUUGUAAUUAAAAAAAGUCCCUGUUGUAGCGUGUUCUGUUAGUGCGAUUCGGACAGCUGUUUUUAUUUCAUCACGCUAUUUUACGCAAACAACUGGCCACAGCUGAAGCUGAACUAACUGGAGCUUCCCAUUACUUUCCUCUGCUUUCGUUAUACUCACCUUCACCAGCUCAAUCAAGCUAUAAAUACCAAACCCUGGUAAGGUCCUAAACACACUCAUCGCUUCACUUUAAAAAAUUUCAAACUUCUCUCCAACUCAAUUUCUUCUAUCUUGUUGUUGCUCAGACGAAAGCUUCCAUGGCUUCAGUAUUGCAUCUGUCGCUGCUGCUUCUUGGCUCUUUGAUGGUUACCUCUGCUGGUAACUUCCACCAAGAUUUUGAUAUCACUUGGGGAGACGGGCGUGCUAAUAUACUCAACAACGGCCAGCUUCUUACUCUUUCCCUUGAUAAAGCCUCUGGCUCCGGCUUCCAGUCCAAGAAUGAGUAUCUAUUCGGCAAGAUUGAUAUGCAACUCAAACUAGUCCCUGGCAACUCUGCCGGCACUGUCACUGCUUAUUAUGUAAGUUCCUGCCUUUAUAUGAAUAAACAAUAUGCAUGUUUGAUCAUCACCCUUUAUAUGAAUAAACAAUAUGCAUGUUUGAUCAUCAUGUAUCUGACAUAUAGACCUUUGACUUUUUGUUCACGCAGUUAAAAUCGCCAGGAUCAACAUGGGAUGAGAUAGACUUCGAGUUCUUGGGGAAUUUAAGUGGUGACCCUUACACUCUGCAUACCAAUGUAUUCACAAAUGGCAAAGGUGACAAAGAACAACAAUUUCACCUCUGGUUUGACCCCACUGCUGACUUUCACACCUAUUCUAUCCUCUGGAAUCCUCAGCGCAUUGUGUAAGCAAUAUUUUCCUUCAAUCUCCAUCAUUUCUUCUUUCCUUGUCAUUCAAUCUGCUUAGACUUAUCAAUGUUUACUUAAUUUUCAGCUUCUCUGUGGAUGGUACUCCCAUAAGAGAGUUCAAGAACUCAGAGUCAAUUGGAGUUGCAUUCCCAAAGAAUCAGCCAAUGAGAAUAUACUCAUCUCUCUGGAAUGCUGAUGACUGGGCUACAAGAGGUGGCCUUGUCAAGACAGAUUGGACGCAUGCUCCCUUCACGGCUUCCUACAGAAACUUCAACGCUGAUGCCUGUGUCUGGUCUAAUGGAAAAUCUUCUUGCGCUUCAAGUUCACCUUCCUCUCCAUCCAGCAGCAGUGCCUGGUUCUCACAAGAGCUUGAUUCAACAAGUCAAGAAAGGCUGAAAUGGGUGCAGAAGAAUUACAUGAUUUACAAUUAUUGCGCUGAUGCAAAGAGAUUUCCCCAGGGACUCCCUGCAGAAUGCAGAACCUCUUAGAAGUUUUGCAAAAUCAACACAUACAUCAAAAAAAUUUAUUCUUUUUGUCAAUUCUUUGAUUCUUUGUUGUAUUUUGUCGUCAAUAAAAUGGCAAAUUAGUCCAACUUUCUCAAUGUAAUACAAAAUUUAGCAUAUAAAUAUCAUGAGAUUAUGUUCUCUACUCUUCGCAUGCUUGCUAUAUGUUCUUCUUUGGCUAGGUUUUAACGUAGAAACGACCAAACCUCUUCACAUAUGCAAUGGUACUCUAAAUUUUUGACUGACUUAACGGGUAAGGACUAGCAAAAUAUUCUAUUGCCAUUAAAACGACUUCUCUCAUUUGGGACUUUUAUCAAACAUCUUGCAAGCAAACGAUUAAAAUUCACCGACACCCACUCCGAGAUUUUUUUUUUAAUGUCCUGUUAAAAUAGUACACCCAACAGUAACAUGACAAUAAAAAGAUAAAUCAAGAACAAAUACAAUCACAAUUGUAUCCAGUUAUUUAAUUCUUAUAUUCAUCUUUGAUUCUUUCAUGUAGUAUUCAUGCAUGUUCACACACAAAUUAGGAUCCAAGCUUUAUGGCAUUUGGGGAUUGAGCAUCUUCUUGAUUGGGGGGGGUGGAAUGGUUAAUGCACUAAUAAAUUGUAACUUAGUUUAUCACGUUUUAUUAGGUAGGAUCCAAAAAAAUGAACAUUGAUUUGAUGAGUAAUGAUACACUUAUAAAAUUCAGAUGUAAAGUUUAUAUAGUAAAUAAUGUGAUAUUUGAUAUAUCAUUCAUUUAUUAAUGUUUGAUCCUAUUAAAAAAUUAACUUUAUAAAUGUGUCAUUACUCUGAUUUUAUUACGUGUUUAGUAAUUGUUUAAUGUUAAAAAAAAACACUUAAGUAAAACCAUAUUUGUUGUUCGAUUGAAAAAUAAACAGGCUGUUAGUUUAGUAUUAUCAUUACAAUAAAUUAACACAAAAAAUGGUGAGACACAUUUGACAUAAAGCAUUGGAUUCCAUAUGGUGGGACUCAUAACUCAUUUGAACCUUUUUUUUUUUUGUUUUUUAAUUCCUUAUACAUUCUCAGAAACAUGUACAUAUAUUUAUUACUUUUUCAUCUUACGAUAAUAAGGCUAAUAUUUAUCAUCCAUUCAACAAAUUACAGAAUCCUCAAUUUUAUAUUCAACACUCAAAUAAUUGAAGCAUUCCAUAUUUUGUUCGCAAAUGAAAAGGUGAUAAAAUUUUUCGAUCGUCCUAAUACUAGAGUCUAGAGCCAUUCUCCAAUAGUAAAAGAAAUGACAAAAAUAUUUGGAAAACAAACAGAAAGGUUUAAUUAUUUUAAUAACUUUGUUGUCUGUUGAAAUUAUGUAGUUAUAUCUACAAGAUUCUAAAUUAUUCACACACAGCAUAAAAAUAUAAAAAUUGAAACGAUAAUUGCUUAUUUUAUUCUCUGACGAAAAAUUGAAAAUGAAAAAAAUGAUAAAUAAGGAGAAAGUCUUAAGUAUUCUUGACAAAUUACUCCCUACUCAAUUAUUCAACUUUAAUUGUGUUUGAACAUUUUCAUGAUUUUUUUUUAAUUAAAAUUUUGUCGGCAUCCACUGCUGUGGAAUUAAUUUAUUACUUGUAUGUAUAAUAUAUGAAUCAUUUAAUAAACCAAGCAAGACGAUUUCUAAUUUUAUUUUAACACAUAUGUAAAGCAGCAAAAAGAUAUAAUAAUAUUCAAAAUGGAAGUUUAAAAUAAUCAUGGCAUUAAAUAGACUUAAGCCAUAAUUAAUUAUAUCGGUUAUAGAUUAAUUAAUCACUUCAUAUUGUUUUGGAUUCAAAUGGUAAUUAAGCAAGUAUAUUUCCCCCUGUUUAGUCUAACAUGCAUUUUAUCUAGCAGUCGUCGCUUUAUAAUAAACAAUAUUAUCGUUUUAACUUAAUUAAUUAACGUCUUAUUCUUUAUACAAAAAUAAUGGACAAAUUGAAACCGGUCAGCAUCAUCAAAGAAUUUAAAAAAAGAAAAGGAAAAAAGAUAAGAGCUUGGUGACUUAUGAUCAGCAAUCAAGCUAUACUCCAUUAUUGAAAAAGAAACUGGUCUAACAACAUUCAAUUACACUCCUGAACAGAAAGAGAAAGAUAUAAGAGAGAGAGAGAGAGAGAGAUUAAAGAUGCGCUAAAUGAAUGGAUCAUCGCCAUUAGAGAUGUAUCCUCACUAUCUUUUCCUGGGAAGUUUAUUUGGAAAGCUAGAAAAUGAAAGGAAAUGAUACAAGAUAUAUAUAUAUAUAUAUAUAUAUAUAUAUAUCUAUCCAUCGUACGUGCUUCACUUUCACUUUCAAGAACUUAUGGACUGAUGUGAAGAGAGCUCCAUGAGGGGGAUUUUAAGGUGUUCCCAAUUUAUCAUCUGCGGUUGAGAAAUGAAAAAUGUAGGGUGCAAACCCCAAUAACCCCGUCUCUAGUGUUUACAGCCCCUCUUUAUUUAUAGGGUUUUACAUCUACAAAUAGAAAAAUUUUAAAAUACAUUAAAGAUAUUAUGUAACUUAUACAACAAGUAAAUAAUAUUAUGGCAUGUGUGUAUUUAUUUUAAAAAAUUAUUAUAUAAAUAGUGAUUAUAUUAAAUUCAAUUACAUAUAUCAUAUAUGUAUUAAUUAUUUGUAAUACAUCAAAAAUAUUCUAAAAUUUCUCCAACAAGUGAUGCUGAUAGCCUUGCAAAUUUUUGUAUGCUUUAAUGCCACGUACUUGCUUCUUAAUUGUGAUAGUUAGAUUGUAAAAAUUUUGGGUUUACAUUUAUUUACUUUAUAAUUAAUUAGCAAAUACUAGUGCAGGCACCCUUGAUAGAUAUUAGAUUGUCAGUUAAUAUGUAGUAACUUUAGGAAACAAAUUUAUGAGGUGGAAUAAGAAAAAAGUUAAAAGAA
Molecule: long non-coding RNA, 6461 nt
Filed under: Citrus x clementina
Lineage: Eukaryota; Viridiplantae; Streptophyta; Magnoliopsida; Sapindales; Rutaceae
Description: Citrus clementina (C. clementina) long non-coding RNA (CCLE_LNC006883)
Source: RNAcentral